Molecule: ribosomal RNA, 484 nt
Filed under: uncultured bacterium
Lineage: Bacteria
Description: partial 16S ribosomal RNA
Rfam family: Bacterial small subunit ribosomal RNA
Source: RNAcentral
AUUGAACGCUGGCGGCAUGCUUUACACAUGCAAGUCGAACGGCAGCGCGGGCUUCGGCCUGGCGGCGCGUGGCGAACGGGUGAGUAAUACAUCGGAACGUGCCCAGUAGUGGGGGAUAGCUCGGCGAAAGCCGGAUUAAUACCGCAUACGACCUGAUGUUGAAAGCGGGGGAUCUUCGGACCUCGCGCUAUUGGAGCGGCCGAUGGCAGAUUAGCUAGUUGGUGGGGUAAAGGCCUACCAAGGCGGCGAUCUGUAGCUGGUCUGAGAGGACGACCAGCCACACUGGGACUGAGACACGGCCCAGACUCCUACGGGAGGCAGCAGUGGGGAAUUUUGGACAAUGGGCGAAAGCCUGAUCCAGCAAUGCCGCGUGUGUGAUGAAGGCCUUCGGGUUGUAAAGCACUUUUGGCGGGAACGAAAAGGACUGUGCCAAUACCACGGUUCGAUGACGGUACCCGCAGAAUAAGCACCGGCUAACUACGUG